AUUCUUAAAAAAAUAAAUUUGUUUGAAAGAUAAUAUUUGUUAUCUAAAAAACAGGAAUCAGUGAUCUGUUAAUAUAACAUCCAUAUUUAAAAUUUUCAAAUAUGAGAAAACGGCUAUUAAUGUAAAUAUUAUAUAUGUCAUAAUUGAAAUUCAUUAAAUAUGGUCAUGUAUAUGUAAUUACUUUUAUAAUAGUGGCUAAUUGUGUUCUUUUUCCAUUAGUAG
RNAcentral lists this long non-coding RNA (222 nucleotides) under Capsicum annuum. Its description in RNAcentral is "long non-coding RNA (CANN_LNC020506)". The record is from RNAcentral. Lineage: Eukaryota; Viridiplantae; Streptophyta; Magnoliopsida; Solanales; Solanaceae.